UUAGCUUAUAAGACAUUUUUCUGUUGAAUUAUAGAAACCCUAGAAAUAAUUUUCGAUGAUUUUUCGAUUUUGAAGAUGUCUCGGUGCUUCCAGUAUCCACCGCCUGGUUAUUCUCCGAAUACAGCAAGCAAUUAUGCCUUGAUCGAAUCGAUUAAGCUCCAGAGGUACGAGGAAAGAGUCAAAUUGGAAAGGAAGAAAGAAAAGAGAAGGAAGAAGAAAGAGAGAUUCAGAAAGAAGGAAAAAAAAGGCGAAGCAAGUAUCAACUUCAAGUUGUUUUCGAACUGGUGAUUUGAUUUCUAGAGGAGAUAAUAGAGAGUCGAAAACAAAGUACUUGCAGAAAGAUAUUGAGGAUGAAAUUGUUGAGCGGUUGGAGAACAGUAGUCUAUCCGAGGAACACGGCAAGCCUGUCUACUCACAAGAUCCAAACUACUCAUCUGACAGCACCCAAAAUAACAACAAAAGAAAGAGAUCUACCUCAUCUUCAAAUGGAAUACAUGACCAUGGUCCUAAUGUCCGCAUUCGAUUGUCCUCACAUAAUCAUGGACAAUGUGAUAUAUCUAUCAAAGAAGACUGUUUCAAAGAAUCUGCUAACUACGAGGUAGAAAGAGCCUCUCCCUUGUCGAAAACCAAGCAGCAAUUGUCCCCUUUCAUGUCAGAGGACAAGACAACAACUGUUUCUUGCUCCAAAUUGCACGGGAACGAUUUAGAACUAGAGUUCAAGAAUUUGAUUAUUAACU
Molecule: long non-coding RNA, 737 nt
Organism: Solanum verrucosum
Lineage: Eukaryota; Viridiplantae; Streptophyta; Magnoliopsida; Solanales; Solanaceae
Exons: 3
Source: RefSeq, a predicted model, not a curated record